This 378-nucleotide RNase P RNA is filed under the name Secundilactobacillus collinoides DSM 20515 = JCM 1123. RNAcentral's name for it is "Lactobacillus collinoides DSM 20515 = JCM 1123 Bacterial RNase P class B". It matches the Rfam family "Bacterial RNase P class B". Rfam says of the family: Ribonuclease P (RNase P) is a ubiquitous endoribonuclease, found in archaea, bacteria and eukarya as well as chloroplasts and mitochondria. Its best characterised activity is the generation of mature 5'-ends of tRNAs by cleaving the 5'-leader elements of precursor-tRNAs. Cellular RNase Ps are ribonucleoproteins. Lineage: Bacteria; Bacillati; Bacillota; Bacilli; Lactobacillales; Lactobacillaceae. The record is from Rfam by way of RNAcentral.
AAUUGUGGGUAAUCGCGGUCGGCUUAAGUCGGCUGAGGAAAGUCCAUGCUCGCACAGACUGCGAUGUCUGUAGUGUUCGUGCUCGGUGAAAAAAUAAGCCGGGGGACUUCGAAAGAAGUUACGGCGGGGAAAAGCGCUAAGGUUUCGGCUAUGCGUGAAUACCUCUGAAAGUGCCACAGCGACGAUGACGCUAUCGGAAACGGUAGUGGUGGAACGUGGUAAACCCCUCGAGCGGGCAACCCAAACUACGGUAGGGGCGCUUCACACACGGAAAUGAACUAAGUUGUGGGGGGAGAGUUUUUACUCUCGAGAUAGAUGAUUACCGCUUGACCUAACUGUCCCUGGCAUUAGGUGAAGUACGGAACAUGGCUUACAGCG